UACGGAGGGUGCAAGCGUUAUCCGGAUUCACUGGGUUUAAAGGGUGCGUAGGGGGGCAGGUAAGUCAGUGGUGAAAUCUCCAAGCUUAACUUGGAAACUGCCGUUGAUACUAUCUGUCUUGAAUAUUGUGGAGGUGAGCAGAAUAUGUCAUGUAGCGGUGAAAUGCUUAGAUAUGACAUAGAACACCAAUUGCGAAGGCAGCUCACUACACAAUCAUUGACUCUGAGGCACGAAAGCGUGGGGAUCAAACAGG
Molecule: ribosomal RNA, 253 nt
Filed under: uncultured bacterium
Lineage: Bacteria
Description: partial 16S ribosomal RNA
Rfam family: Bacterial small subunit ribosomal RNA
Source: RNAcentral